AGUGAAUAGAUACCCUGGUAGUCCACGCCCUAGACGAUGUCAACUAGGUGUUGGGUGGGUAAAACCAUUUAGUACCGUAGCUAAACGCGUGAAGUUGACCGCCUGGGGAGUACGGCCGCAAGGUUAAAACUCAAAGGAAUUGACGGGGACCCGCACAAGCGGUGGAUGAUGUGGAUUAAUUCGAUGCAACGCGAAAAACCUUACCUACCCUUGACAUGCCAGGAACUUGCCAGAGAUGGCUUGGUGCCCGAAAGGGAGCCUGGACACAGGUGCUGCAUGGCUGUCGUCAGCUCGUGUCGUGAGAUGUUGGGUUAAGUCCCGCAACGAGCGCAACCCUUGUCGUUAAUUGCCAUCAUUUGGUUGGGCACUUUAACGAGACUGCCGGUGACAAACCGGAGGAAGGUGGGGUAUGACGUCAAGUCCUCAUGGCCCUUAUGGGUAGGGCUUCACACGUCAUACAAUGGUCGGUACAGAGGGUUGCCAAGCCGCGAGGCGGAGCCAAUCCCAGAAAGCCGAUCGUAGUCCGGAUUGCAGGCUGCAACUCG
RNAcentral lists this ribosomal RNA (545 nucleotides) under uncultured bacterium. RNAcentral describes it as "bacterial SSU rRNA". It matches the Rfam family "Bacterial small subunit ribosomal RNA", at positions 774 to 1314 of the family's 1533-position model. The record is from RNAcentral.